RNAcentral lists this ribosomal RNA (255 nucleotides) under uncultured bacterium. RNAcentral describes it as "partial 16S ribosomal RNA". It matches the Rfam family "Bacterial small subunit ribosomal RNA", at positions 524 to 776 of the family's 1533-position model. The record is from RNAcentral.
CACGUAUGGGGCAAGCGUUGUUCGGAGUUAUUGGGCGUAAAGGGCGUGUAGGCGGCUUUCGCAAGCUUGGUGUAAAAGGUUUCGGCCUAACCGGAACAGUGCGCUCAAGAACUGCGGAGCUGGAGUCUAGGAGGGGGAGCUGGAAUUCCAGGUGUAGGGGUGAAAUCUGUAGAUAUCUGGAAGAACACCGGUGGCGAAGGCGAGCUCCUGGCCAUAGACUGACGCUGAGGCGAGAAAGCGUGGGGAGCAAACAGG